This 419-nucleotide ribosomal RNA is filed under the name uncultured Aphanizomenon sp. RNAcentral's name for it is "bacterial SSU rRNA". It matches the Rfam family "Bacterial small subunit ribosomal RNA", at positions 1043 to 1464 of the family's 1533-position model. The record is from RNAcentral. Lineage: Bacteria; Bacillati; Cyanobacteriota; Cyanophyceae; Nostocales; Aphanizomenonaceae.
GCAUGGCUGUCGUCAGCUCGUGUCGUGAGAUGUUGGGUUAAGUCCCGCAACGAGCGCAACCCUCGUUUUUAGUUGCCAGCAUUAAGUUGGGCACUCUAGAGAGACUGCCGGUGACAAACCGGAGGAAGGUGGGGAUGACGUCAAGUCAGCAUGCCCUUACGUCUUGGGCUACACACGUACUACAAUGCUACGGACAAAGGGCAGCUACACAGCGAUGUGAUGCGAAUCUCAUAAACCGUAGCUCAGUUCAGAUCGAAGGCUGCAACUCGCCUUCGUGAAGGAGGAAUCGCUAGUAAUUGCAGGUCAGCAUACUGCAGUGAAUUCGUUCCCGGGCCUUGUACACACCGCCCGUCACACCAUGGAAGUUGGUCACGCCCGAAGUCGUUACCCCAACCGAAAGGAGGGGGAUGCCUAAGGUA